GACAGAGGGUGCAAACGUUGUUCGGAAUUACUGGGCGUAAAGCGCGUGUAGGCUGCUCGGAAAGUCGGAUGUGAAAGCCCUGGGCUCAACCUAGGAAGUGCAUUCGAAACUUCCGAGCUGGAGUUCUGGAGAGGAAGGCGGAAUUCUCGGUGUAGAGGUGAAAUUCGUAGAUAUCGAGAGGAACACCAGUGGCGAAGGCGGCGACCUGGGCCGAUACUGACGCUGAGGAGCGAAAGCGUGGGGAGCAAACAGG
Molecule: ribosomal RNA, 253 nt
Filed under: uncultured bacterium
Lineage: Bacteria
Description: partial 16S ribosomal RNA
Rfam family: Bacterial small subunit ribosomal RNA
Source: RNAcentral